This 301-nucleotide ribosomal RNA is filed under the name uncultured bacterium. Its description in RNAcentral is "partial 16S ribosomal RNA". It matches the Rfam family "Bacterial small subunit ribosomal RNA", at positions 509 to 807 of the family's 1533-position model. The record is from RNAcentral.
CAGCAGCCGCGGGAAUACGUAGGUGGCAAGCGUUGUCCGGAAUUAUUGGGCGUAAAGGGCGCGUAGGCAGUUGGACAAGUCUUGUGUGAAAUCUUCAGGCUCAACCUGAAGUCUGCAUAGGAAACUGUCCGGCUUGAGUGUGGGAGAGGUGCGUGGAAUUCCCGGUGUAGCGGUGAAAUGCGUAGAGAUGUGGAGGAACACCAGUGGCGAAGGCGACUCUCUGGUCUGUAACUGACGCUGAGGAGCGAAAGCGUGGGGAGCGAACAGGAUUAGAUACCCCAGUAGUCCCUGUCUCUUAUAC